CGACCCCCCACUGGGUCUUCGUUCGUCCCACUCCCUCUCAUCUUCAUUUCUCUGACGACCGACCGACACUCUGGCGUGCCACCAACGCCACUGCGGGCCUCCUUCUUUCCCGUCAUCUUCACCUCUUAGUCGACUUCUCGCCUGACGCCCCACUGGAAUCAUCUUCUUCGUAUCUCUGUGCUUCUUAGUUGAUUUCUUGCCUGGACGUACUAUAAAAUGGGUAAGAAUCAAGCGUACAAAGCGAUGCAGAAAGCCAGGCUAGGGUCCUCGAGCUCGACAGGGCCAGCUGAGAUUGAAGAUGGAAUGGUGGAUGGUUCAUUUCAUUCACCAGCGUGGCAUGCUGCUCGUUUGGCCAG
Molecule: unclassified non-coding RNA, 356 nt
Filed under: Hevea brasiliensis (rubber tree)
Lineage: Eukaryota; Viridiplantae; Streptophyta; Magnoliopsida; Malpighiales; Euphorbiaceae
Source: RNAcentral